GGUUGGCACGAGAAUAGGUAACAUGAUAUAAUGUCAGCCAAUGAAAUGUAGAGGAAGGUUGCUGGGGGCCUGGCAGGAAGUUUCCUAAGAGAAAAACACAGGAAAGAGUUUCUUUUUCUCUUCAUGGUUACAAAUGGAUGUGAGGCCUGGAAAUGCUAAACUCAUCUCAGAACCAGCUGGAGGAUGAGGUCAACAAGCAGAAGGGCAGAGCCAGAAGCACAGGAGAACUGAGGACAAAUGGCCAGGAGUGCAACUGCUGGUAUGGAGGCUUAAAGAUUUGGACUAAAAGACAGUCAAGUCUGAAGAUGCCUAAUGUUUCCAUUAAAAAAAAAAAAAAUAAGAUCUUCCUUGGGAUCACCUGUCUGGGUGGCUCAGGCAAUCAGGACAGUGAGAAGUUAUUUACAGAAGAGUUUGUUGGACCAUGCAUUAAUAAGGGCCCCGAGCAUUUACCAAAGGUACUGUGUAGUAAGAACCAUUCCACAAGCAGAGUUAUAAACACUAAUGUAUGAGUAUGAACACUGAACUAGUAUCUUUCAAGAUUCACAGAGGGCUGAGUCUGUUCCCCUGUAAAUGAACAUAAAAGCUUCACAUAGUGAAGACUGCUUUUCAAGGUAGAAAAAACAGGAAGGAAAAAGAUAAAAUGUGGUCUGAUUUUCCUGAGGGACUAUUUUUAGGAGUGUAUAAUACUCUAGAAAGGCAGUUUUUCUAGUGUCAGAGGUUGUUAAAAGAGCUUGGUUGGCUACCUCACCCAGAAUGUAUCUGGAGCUAGACUGCCAGAACCCUGGUUCAGGUACUUACUAGUUGAGUGACUUAAAGACUCAAAAAACAAUAGUUACACCUUCCUGAGGAUGGGCACAGCUCUGGGGGGGACAGCUCUCUACUGUACUGAAGAUAGCCUGCAUGGAACAUUGAGCUUUGAGCCCCUGGUAAACAGAGCAGCAUCUAGCAAUGGAGUGACCUCUAGUGGGGAGUAAAGACCUCCAAGAAAGGAAAAGAGAACUGGUUCCUGACAGAAGAAAAUCCACAAAUUGUGGAACUGUUGAGUCCCAGAAAAUCCUCUCCUUGUUCACCAUAGCCUGCCUGGUUCCUAAGGGACAGUGUCCAUGAGGCGCAGCGACUAUUUUGGAGGCCAAUUCCCUGGGACUGUUAAAAGGAAGACUCUGAGGGUCAUGUCUUGAAGGGCUGGCACAGCUUAGCAUUUAAAACUCCUCACUCCAUGCCCUGUGGCACUGCCUGAGACUUCAUGAGGAUGAAGCCACUCAUCCUUUAGGAUGAAGCAGUCACCUUGUUAGGAACGAGAGGUCCUAACACCACACAGCACUUGUCUCAAUCCGAAUAACAAAACAAUAAAAAGGUUUUAGUGGAAGCAUGA
This is a long non-coding RNA of Canis lupus familiaris (dog), 1372 nucleotides long. RefSeq lists it as uncharacterized. The record is from RefSeq and is a predicted model, not a curated record. Lineage: Eukaryota; Metazoa; Chordata; Mammalia; Carnivora; Canidae. The transcript is spliced from 2 exons.